This 360-nucleotide ribosomal RNA is filed under the name uncultured Methanosaeta sp. RNAcentral's name for it is "bacterial SSU rRNA". It matches the Rfam family "Archaeal small subunit ribosomal RNA", at positions 981 to 1338 of the family's 1478-position model. The record is from RNAcentral. Lineage: Archaea; Methanobacteriati; Methanobacteriota; Methanomicrobia; Methanotrichales; Methanotrichaceae.
UGAGAGGUGGUGCGAUGGCCGUCGUCAGUUCGUACUGUGAAGCAUCCUGUUAAGUCAGGCAACGAGCGAGACCCACGCCCACAGUUGCCAGCGUACUCUCUGGAGUGACGGGUACACUGUGGGGACCGCCGCUGCUAAAGCGGAGGAAGGAAUGGGCAACGGUAGGUCAGUAUGCCCCGAAUAUCCCGGGCUACACGCGAGCUACAAUGGUUGGUACAAUGGGUAUCUACCCCGAAAGGGGACGGGAAUCUCCUAAAACCAAUCUUAGUUCGGAUUGAGGGCUGCAACUCGCCCUCAUGAAGCUGGAAUCCGUAGUAAUUCGCGUUUCAACAGAACGCGGUGAAUACGUCCCUGCUCCUU